Molecule: ribosomal RNA, 399 nt
Filed under: uncultured bacterium
Lineage: Bacteria
Description: partial 16S ribosomal RNA
Rfam family: Bacterial small subunit ribosomal RNA
Source: RNAcentral
AAUUUUGGACAAUGGGGGAAACCCUGAUCCAGCCAUCCCGCGUGUAUGAUGAAGGCCUUCGGGUUGUAAAGCUCUUUCAGCGGGGGAGAUAAUGACGGUACCCGCAGAAGAAGCCCCGGCUAACUUCGUGCCAGCAGCCGCGGUAAUACGAAGGGGGCGAGCGUUGUCCGGAAUUACUGGGCGUAAAGGGCGCGUAGGCGGCCUGUUAAGUCAGAUGUGAAAACCCCGGGCUCAACCUGGGGACUGCAUUUGAAACUGAUGGGCUAGAGUGUCGGAGAGGGAAGCGGAAUUCCUAGUGUAGCGGUGAAAUGCGUAGAUAUUAGGAGGAACACCAGUGGCGAAGGCGGCUUUCUGGACUGUAACUGACACUGAGGCAUGAAAGCGUGGGUAGCAAACAGG